GCUAUUUUAGUUUUAUAUUUAAAAUGUGUGAUUUGUAAUCAUGAGAACUUGGUGGCU
This 57-nucleotide transfer RNA is filed under the name Toxocara canis (dog roundworm). Its description in RNAcentral is "transfer RNA-Thr". The record is from RNAcentral. Lineage: Eukaryota; Metazoa; Nematoda; Chromadorea; Rhabditida; Toxocaridae.